UUCAUUCUCUCAAACUCACCAUCUCUCAAACCCAUUUCUCUUCUUCAUUUUUCUUCUUCAUUCUCUCAAACUCACCAUCUCUCAAACCCAUUUUCAUUUCUCUUCUUCAUUUCUCUUCAACUCUUCUUCCCCAAUCUCUUCCCCAAUUUAAUUUCAAUUGCAAGGUAUUAUUUGUGUUUGAAGGAGCUUCCAAGGGAACAUUAGAAGAAAUAAUAGAGGAAGAUAGAGUAUGGAAUAUUAUUUGUACUAUCGUAGUUGGAUGUACGAUAGAUUGUAUCCAGGAAGAAGUGGACUUAAACCCAAUUUUAUAGAAGGAGUUAAUGGGUUUAUAAAGUGGGCGUUUGUUCAGGAAUGUUGUCGAAGCGAAGGGGGAGUUAGGUGCCCUUGUCUUAAAUGUGACUGUAGAUGUAUAAUUAGUGACCCAGAGGAAGUACAACGUCAUUUGUAUAGAAGAGGUUUCAUUGAAAAUUAUUGGGUUUGGACGUCUAAUGGUGAACAACUGCCGAUGAAUGUGCCAGAGACUAGCAAUACGCAUGCUUCAAGCAGUCGUCCGACUAUGGAAUACGAGGAAAAUUUUAAUUUGAUUGGUGACAUG
Vicia villosa (hairy vetch) is the source of this 595-nucleotide long non-coding RNA. RefSeq lists it as uncharacterized. The transcript is spliced from 3 exons. The record is from RefSeq and is a predicted model, not a curated record. NCBI's taxonomy places the organism in Eukaryota, Viridiplantae, Streptophyta, Magnoliopsida, Fabales, Fabaceae.